AUUGUUGUAUGGGUAAUAAACCUACACCAUACAGUAAAUAAAUGUGCGGUAAAGUAAAUUCAUAAAGUAAAUUGUUAGGAUUAGUAACGGUUUCCCACUGAUAAUAUGUUUAGUAUUACCGAGGGUCCAUUUUUGUUAAUGGUUAGUAAAAUAAAAGCAGAUAAAUAUAAUAUGAAAUAAUAGAGAAGAUAAGGGAGCAGAAAACUUAUCGCUUAUGCCCUUGGUGAGUGAUCCCCCUUUUUCUUUUUCUUUUUUCUUUUUUUUAUUUUUUAUUUUUUAUAUUUAUUUAUUUUUAUUUAUUUUUUUUAUUAUAUUUAUUAUUAUUAUUUGCAGAAAACUGUCGGUGGGUCUUUCCUUUCAUCAUUGCUGCUACAAGGAAUGCUGCUUUUUAGGAAAGUGCCCACCCUAUAUCCUACUCUGAAAAGCAUGUCACUUCCAAAAGUACUAUAAAGAAAACAGAGCACACAAUUUGGGACCCAAGACCCGAUUAUGCGCCCAACUUUUCUUAGUGCGUUUUGCUCAUGCUGUCCAUUUCAUCAAAGGGGAUCUUGAUCUCUUCCAAUGAACAACAAACCAAGCUCAGCCACACCACCAUCGUCAAAACCCACAUGGGUCCUGCCCUACAAGACCCAAAACCUCACUGACCUCUACACUUUGGAUAAGAUUUUGAGUGCUCGAGUCCACGACAUGAUCAACACCUCCAGCAUGGGCUACCUCCACGAUCCGAGAAGCCCACAACCACACCGACCUCAUCGUGGUUUCGAUCUACGUGAACCCAGGUCAGUUCUCUCCCUCCGAAGACCUCUCCAUCUACUCAUCUGAUUUCCAUGGCGAUGUCUGCAUCACAGAGAACGGAGAGCUCCUGAAGCUGACCGAUGAGCUGCCUCAGCAUGGCCAGACCUUCCAUGCCCCCCUGAGGCCCUAGCAGCGGCAAUACCGAAACGUCCUGGAGGGAGGUCAAGAGCCUGAGAAUCGUCCGAAGCUGCUCGAGCGCUCGGUGGUCGCCGAGGUCAGAGACGUAGGCUCGGAGGUAGUUGACGGGAGCGCCGGUCAGGAGGCUCUCGAGCUCAAGAAACGCCUCGAGCUCAAGAAACGCCUCGAGCCGUGAGUUCACGUAGUGGAAGCCCGCCGGGUUCAGCUUGAGCACUAGGCUUCCGUCGAUCAAAGAACCGGCUUGUUGCUCCACGAAGUGUACCAGCUUCUCCAGGAUCGUCUAGGAUUCGAGGAAGAAGAAGACUUUUCUCCACCAUUCAGGUUCUAGGCCCUUCUCCUAUAGGAUGGAUGCACGGAGGCAGGGGGGUCCAAAUUCCCAGAGAUCGACGUCUUUGGCGACGUUUAUGUUUGACUUGGGAAUGAGUUGACCGAGUCCCUUCAUGUUAAACAGACGACGAUGGUGGAGAGGAGCCAGUUGGUUAUUCAGGAGUCCGCCUCCCAACUUCCUCCCGAUACUCCGAUAGUCUGUGAAUUCUCCACAGGAUGCUGGGUUUCAGAUCUUGACGGAGACGUUGGAUCAGACUCUCGGAAGGAGGCCGGGGACAUAUUGUCGAGGGAUGGAGAAUGCCAGGCAGAGGGAACCCAGACCCCGUUCAUCAGCGCAGUCAAACAGUCAGGUGACUGCUUUGACAGCACAGGUGGCCACUCUUCAGUGUCAGAUGUCGGUGAUUCUGCAGUCCCUCGCAUGGUCCGGCAUUCCAGUCCAGCAUUUUGAUGUGCCGACCUUCGAGCCCGUCUACCCCGGGCAUCCCCACCAGACGACAGCCCCUGUAGACCCCCAGACCUCUGAGCUGCAUGUGCCAGACGACAAUGUAGAUUUUGAAACUUUAUUUGAUUAGUUUUUUAUUUUCAUAAUUAUU
Molecule: long non-coding RNA, 1853 nt
Organism: Prunus persica (peach)
Lineage: Eukaryota; Viridiplantae; Streptophyta; Magnoliopsida; Rosales; Rosaceae
Exons: 4
Source: RefSeq, a predicted model, not a curated record